AUUUGGGCCGUCCGCGCUCUGCCUCAGAAUGGGAAUCGGCGUGGUAGAGGAGUACACACCCAGAGGAACGGCGGCUGCCACGGAAGCGAAGGCGCAUAACACGAUCGUCUGAAACAUGAUCCAGACACGUGGCCCGAGGACGAUAAAGCGGUUGGCUGAUCCGAAAGUCGAAGUUGUAAGGAAGACGCGUGUAAUCCGAAUUAUAUAUAUAUAUAUAUAAUCCUGCAGUGUAGAUUUCGGCACUGAUUUGCGUACUUGCGUAACGUUAUAUAACGGAUCUACAAGCGCAGUAUUUCGAUGCUUUAAGGCUGUGGGGCGAAUUUGUAACACGCAGAACCUUCAAUCCCGAAAUUGGUAAAAGUAAACUGCAAGAUUCGUGGUACUUUUAAUGCAUCUGAAAAUUAACGUCUCUUCGUUUUGAUACGUUGUCGCACCCUGUCAGUUGUCUCGAUAAGAAUUUAAAUUGGUGCGGAUAUUUCGAUUAUUCGUGCCGACGAUUAGAAGAAAAUUUUAUUGUCCUUAUUAUAAAGCAUUUCCUAGUCGCAUGUUAUAGAAAAUUUCUCAUUUCUUUACUGGAAGUAAAUAUGACGAUAGGAUGAAAUUUGAUGGACGAUACGCCAACUCGUGAAAUUCAAGCUCCGGUUAAACGACAUUUUAUUUCGACGUAAUAGGAUAGUUAGGGAUAUUUGACGACUUUCUUAUACCGAAGAAAUAACCGUUUAAAUCGCAAGUGUCUUUUUAAGAAAUUUAUAUGUAAAAUGGUGUAACUUUAUUUCUCGACGAGUGAAUAGGUAUAUUAUAUCAACCUACGUGUAUCGUUUAUCAAAUGAUCGGUUUAAGUGUAUUUAUGCAAAUCGUAUACGGCGGUAUCGGUAGCAUAAUUAUUCUACGAUUAUCGUAAUUAUUCGUAUGCUACUGGAAGCAAGUAACAAGAGAACGAUGAUACGUUAAACGGUUGAAUAUCUUAUAUUGUAUGUAUGAUCGAUGAAAUUAACGUCGACAACGUUUACAACGUAAAUUUAUACGUACGUGUUAAAACGCGAUGAACUUGUUAUCUCUUAAUUCGUUAAAAAUUGUACGUAGCGAUCACGAUACAUCGUCAUAUGUAAAGAAUUCUUUCGUAUUCAUCGAUGUUUUGAAAUGCGAUUCAAAGCGCGAUUUCUUGUAAAACUUAACGAUCAAGGGGAACCAAACGAAUCGAUAUCGUAAUGAAUAAAUCGUGGCUCUGCAGAACGAUCGUUAUUUUUAGUUAUAUUUCUCUGCUGCAGCUAAAAAUUCGAUAGUUUUAAAACAUUCGAUCCACGCUGUGUUGGAAUAAUAAUUAAGUGGCGCGUAAUUAAGCGAUUCCAUCUUUGCAGGCACGCAACAUCUUUACAACAUCACUAACAACAUUUCUCAACCCAAAUAUAUCUUUGGA
Long non-coding RNA from Bombus pyrosoma, 1417 nucleotides. RefSeq lists it as uncharacterized. NCBI's taxonomy places the organism in Eukaryota, Metazoa, Arthropoda, Insecta, Hymenoptera, Apidae. The transcript has 3 exons. The record is from RefSeq and is a predicted model, not a curated record.